GAGACUCGUUAAAGCUAAAGAAGAUAUGUAGUAAAGAGAAGGCAGGGGUGGCGGCUGGUUGGAGGAGGGGGGUGACAGUCGUGCACAUGGAAUCCACAUUUAAAUGAAGGACUUGAAACGGAGUCUACAACACGAUACAGUCGCUGCUGAUGCUUGCUCAGCAUCCCUCUGCUGGCUCCAGUGUGUUUUCUAUGCAAAGGAAAACACCAAUCUCUUGCCCCUUGCAUGAAUAGGUUGAGCCGCUGCACCACUUAUGCCUUUAAACUGGAAAUAUAAUGGAAAUUGGCGUUUACAUGUUUAAAAACAACAUGAAGCAACUCCAAGUACCACUUGAAUUGGUCGCUUUGGAAAGCUUCUUGGACUGGAAAUAACCUGUAUUGAAAUGCUGACCGCAUAUUCCUGCUCUAAUCCACUCUCGCCCGGCCGGCAUUUCGAAGAGGCCCCUGCCUGCUGAAUAUCCUGAAAGGCUAGCAUCUCCAGGUGUUUAACCCGAUCACCUUACACGACCACUGAGUUUUACGUGCUUUUUUAAGAUUACUUGGAAAUCUGUGCUUGCAGGCAACACGGAAAUUACCGAGGGGUUGACGAAACGUAAGGACUGAAACGGGGUGCGCAUAAGCCCCUGUUAAAUCACUUUAUUUAACACGGCCCUUUGUUUACGUUAAGCAUGUAAUUAACACCCCCAAACAAGUUUAUUCACCUGGGCUAAUUGUCUGUUUAUCCCCGGGCUUCCACUGCUGUAGUCUUUGCGAUAAGCAGCGGGGGGACUAGCUCCUCAAUACCGACGAGCCAUUAGCUCCCUCUUUGUUUAUUUAAUUCCGCACCGCCUCACAGCACAAUACGGGCACCCGUUAAACUCCAACUCCACUUUACUGAAGAAGUAGAUUAUUUCAGCACUUCAGCCUUAGCCCUAACUAACAGCAAGAAUAACUUUGUGCGUUUUUUUAAAAACCAGAUGCUUAAUGUUUUUCUUUCAUGUGUCGUCACAGCAUGGGCUUUUGGACCUGGUGGAGCCGAAAAUAAGGUAAAAAAAUGUUCUACCCUUCUCACUUAGCUCUUAAAAAAAAAACUUAGGUUUUGUCAUUUCAUUAAAAAGCAUCCUCCAGCAUCUCCUCACGUUGACAUGCGCACGGAUUUCCACGUGUGAUUUCUGUGCCGCGAAAGCCUACUGCAGUGUAAGAGACCAGUUGGGAGAAGAAAUUUAGGAGCGCGUAUCUCCGUUCUCGUUUCAGGUUCUAGUCUGAAACAUUUUUAUGUAGAUUUUUGUAGAUAAUUACAUGCUUGAUUUUUUUGACAGAUCUAUUGUGUGGACACUGUGGAUACAGUCGCUCCCGUUUUGUGCUCGACGGAAUCCCUGAGUUACGCGUGAUUUCUAAGCGUAUUUAUGCUUUGCAUUUAAUCUGUCUUGACUUGUUUUGCCUCCUCUUCCUGUCGUCAUUUCUUCUUCGCUGAUUUUUCUCCCUCCCAUUCAUCACACAAGUCCCUCUCUUUUUCUUCUUCAUUGUAGCUGCGAAAUUCAUUAUGCUGUUUCAGACUAUCGUCGCAAGUUUUCUUUCUUGAAUCUUCCUAAGCGGACGCAGUUGGCAGGUGACUGUGGUCUGUCUCACGUGCCCGAUCAUGAACAUCAUCUUAACAUCUUCUUCCGACGCGGAUACUCUGCAUGCUCUCCACUCCAGAAAUCCGGAAAGGGCAAACGCAGCUUGCAGCUUUGUGGGGCCGUCGGGAUGGGGCGCAACUGCCCCUUUUUAUUAGCUUAGUCGAAAGCUUUCAACCUCUUCUGUUGUGCAUCGCCAGGACCUUUGCAUAGCCGUAACCUGCAGACGUGAUGUGGGGUUUUUGACACUCUGCUGAGGCAUCAUGCACUAAUAAUCUCAAACCCCACUGACUGAAAAUGCUGUGUGGACUGAGCUCGUUAUGUACGGGUGAGUAACUGCUGUCGGAUGGGAUAUGUGUCUGCGCUAGAGCUGGACUAGAGGGAUCGAUAGAGAGCGUCUGGAGAACUCCGGUACAGGCGCUGACUUGCAUCGGCCUGACAGCUACAAGCGGAGUAACGCCAAUGAACCGCAACAGGUAGAGCUGUUUCAUAGGAAAAUAUAAUAACUUUAUACAAACCUUGUUAGCAUUUAAUUUGACCAGCUCUCCGUAAAGACAUGCAAAAUAAUAAUUAAUGUAUUACUUACUUUUACAAGGAAAAGCCAUGUAAAAAGAAAAAUAUUUUAUUGUGUACAAAACAAAAAUCAAUAAGCUGGAUAUUUGUAAGACGGUAGAUGGCAAGGCAUGCCAUGUAAUUUUUUUCCAUAGGACUUUUAAAACUUUUGUUGACCUGGUCCACAGUUGAUUAGGCUAUUUUAUGAUACAAAUACAUAUUUCAGGUAUUCAUGGCAACUCAUCAGAUUUUUAAAAAAAAAUUAACAAUAUAUAAAUAUUGGAUUGCGACAUGCUUAUUUUUUAAACUAGUAAAAAUUAAAUGUUAGACAUGUACAAAUGGAAUCAGAAAGGCAGAAAAGGUAAUAUUUAUAUUAGGUAGGCUGUUCUGUGGGUAAGUAUGACCGUAUGACUGUUUCUGUUUGUUUUGGGGGGUUUUUUUCGUUAGGGACCAAAAUGUAAAGCUAAACAUGAAUUUCUUUAAAGCUUCUUUGUUGUGACAACGCCCAGUUGUUAAAGGCGCUAUAUAAACAGGUUAAAAUUGGACUGAAAUGAAAUUGAUCGUAACUUCGUAACCUAGACUGUCAGUUCAGGCUGGUGCAGAUUUAGUUUCCUCAAAAAGUAUCGUUGACUACCAAAAUCUAAUCGUUAAUAGUAGAGCUCAUUUCGACCUCUGAAAAUGAGACCAACUGAAACUGGCCCCCAAAACUCAAAGUUAGAACAUAACUGUGUUGGAAUUUAACUUUUCGUUAAGUGCUUAAAACACUGAUUACAGGUAUCUCAUGUCUUUCUUUCUUUCUUUCUUUCUUUCUUUCUUUCUUUCUUUCUUUCUUUCUUUCUCAUACAGUUAGGGGGGAAUUUGAGAAGGCAGUUUCUACAAUGUUUUGUUAACCAGCUUACAGAAGGCUUAUUAAUACUAAUUAAUUUCGUCACACAGUUUUCUUAUAUUUACUAUUUAAAUAAAUUUCUAUCAUGGCUCAACAUUACUUUUAUUUUUUUAUAUAAUUUUAUUACCCUGUGUUACAAAUAAACGUAACCCAGAGUAAUUAAAUUUAAUACUCAACUGCUUUCUCUCUCUCUCUCUCUCUCUCUCUCUCUCUCUCUCUCUCUCUCUCCUUAAAGUACACGACUAUAAGUGGACGUUCAAAAUUACCUUCAGCUUAAUCUGGCAAGAAUCUGCAUCUAUUAUUUCCAUCUAUUAAACCGUUAAUGUCCAAAGUAGACUCGUGCUUAUACUCUGUACCUCCAUCAACUGACUCAUUAAGUGACUCACCAUUUUCUUACGUAGUCGCGUCACUUACUGCACACUGCUGUAGAUUUUUUUGCAUGAACUCAAGAACAUUAUGGCUUAGUGUAGUUAUAAAGAUUUCUCUUGUUUUCACCAAACUUAAGCACCCAGCUACAAAGCAGAAACCCCACCCCUUUUGCUGAAAUUGUUGUGCAAGUACUUACAAACAUGCAGUCAGAGGUAAAUUUGGGAUUGGCUAAUCCACUGUAAUUCUGUAAUUGGCUAAAUUUGGGUCACACACUUGCCAAUAGGAGGAAAAAUAAUAAUCUUGCUGAAUUGUAAUCGCAAUGGCCUUUAACAUUUAAAAAAAAAAAAAAAUUGGGACACCAGUAAAAGAACUGGACUAACAACAGAACGAUCUGGAUGAAACAGGAUGGGUGGCAGCUUCAGGUUUUUCAGUGUAUGGUUUAGGACCCAGCCUGUGUGUGAUGACUUGGUUGCAUUUGUCUGCUGAUAAGUCACACAGAGGUAAUGGGAAGUUAUUGGGAGCUCGUCCUAAGUUCAUGGUUCAUGGUGAGGUUAAAGAGACUGUUGAUACUGUUGCUUGCUCUCAAUGUUAAGUCCUCUUCCUUCCUAAAAGAGGAUGUGCCCUAGCCACUGUGCACUCAUGUUUGUUUUUAUAGGUUUAUGCCAUUGGCCCAAACAGGAAUGCACAAUAACACCAUGACGUCAUAGACUGCAAGUUUUUCUCUCGUCUUUCUUUGUAAAAUCACACAAGGCCUGUCCUCGAACUUCAGUCAAGUCCUUUGUCUUUGUCUAUUUUUAGCCACCUAUCCCAAAGCACUUGGGAACUGACUCAACUUGAGCACAUAACCCCUAAAAGUAGAUUUUCGCUGACAAUAUGAUUGUCGAUUCUGACAGUUCUGAUCACCUGCAAAAUCCCAUGCCAAAAAUGUAAUGUUUUACAAGCUGAUAUGUAUAAUAUAUUAUAUGACCAGCUGCUACAUGUAUAACUAUCAAUAAAAAUCUGUUGUCUAA
Long non-coding RNA from Hemibagrus wyckioides, 4411 nucleotides. RefSeq lists it as uncharacterized. The transcript is spliced from 6 exons. The record is from RefSeq and is a predicted model, not a curated record. NCBI's taxonomy places the organism in Eukaryota, Metazoa, Chordata, Actinopteri, Siluriformes, Bagridae.